UAGGGAAUCUUCCGCAAUGGGCGCAAGCCUGACGGAGCAACGCCGCGUGAGUGAUGAAGGCCUUCGGGUUGUAAAACUCUGUCUUCUGUGAAGAACCACCCUGUGCAGGGAAAGCUCAGGGCCUGACGGUAACAGAGGAGGAAGCCCCGGCUAACUACGUGCCAGCAGCCGCGGUAAUACGUAGGGGGCAAGCGUUGUCCGGAAUCACUGGGCGUAAAGCGCGCGCAGGCGGUCUUUCACGUCCGGGGUGAAAGCCCAGAGCUCAACUCUGGGAUUGCCUUGGAUACGGGGAGACUUGAGGAUCGGAGAGGCAAGGGGAAUUCCACGUGUAGCGGUGAUAUGCGUAGAGAUGUGGAGGAACACCUGUGGCGAAGGCGCCUUGCUGGCCGAUUUCUGACGCUGAGGCGCGAAAGCGUGGGGAGCAAACA
This 428-nucleotide ribosomal RNA is filed under the name uncultured bacterium. RNAcentral's name for it is "bacterial SSU rRNA". It matches the Rfam family "Bacterial small subunit ribosomal RNA", at positions 355 to 774 of the family's 1533-position model. The record is from RNAcentral.